This 468-nucleotide ribosomal RNA is filed under the name uncultured bacterium. Its description in RNAcentral is "partial 16S ribosomal RNA". It matches the Rfam family "Bacterial small subunit ribosomal RNA", at positions 28 to 507 of the family's 1533-position model. The record is from RNAcentral.
GACGAACGCUGGCGGCGUGCUUAACACAUGCAAGUCGAACGGAAAGGCCCUGCUUUUGUGGGGUGCUCGAGUGGCGAACGGGUGAGUAACACGUGAGUAACCUGCCCUUGACUUUGGGAUAACUUCAGGAAACUGGGGCUAAUACCGGAUAGGAGCUCCUGCUGCAUGGUGGGGGUUGGAAAGUUUCGGCGGUUGGGGAUGGACUCGCGGCUUAUCAGCUUGUUGGUGGGGUAGUGGCUUACCAAGGCUUUGACGGGUAGCCGGCCUGAGAGGGUGACCGGCCACAUUGGGACUGAGAUACGGCCCAGACUCCUACGGGAGGCAGCAGUGGGGAAUAUUGCACAAUGGGCGGAAGCAUGAUGCAGAAACGCCGCGUGCGGGAUGACGGCCUUCGGGUUGUAAACCGCUUUCGCCUGUGACGAAGAGUGAGUGACGGUAAUGGGUAAAGAAGCACCGGCUAACUACGUG